UUUCUUCUCGCAUGUAAAAAAAACACACCCAGAUAGAUGUUAUAAACAAAGACAAGACAUUACAACACACAGUCGUAUUCAACUACAAGAGCGACAUCAUGAUCUGCCUUGAUGUGAUAGACCAUACAAUGUACAAAACAAGAAUCAAUGUGGCUGAUACACAUGGGACAGUGGGACAGCUAAAGCAAGACAUUUUCAAGAUCCUACCGAAGACUUCAGGUCUUAGUGAGGAGUCUGUGAGGCUGACAGUCAAAAGCAAGAUAAUGGAGGACAAUGAACCACUAUCAUCAUACCCUGUGGAUCACAUGUCUGUCAUUCACCUGGUGCUGCAGGUACAUGGGGGAUAGAGUGAAUAACCACCUUCCCCGUCUGGCAUUGAUACUUCUACCCUGCCAGUCCUUCUGUGGAGCCUGACUCAUCUUGAGGUUUCGUCUUCGGUUACGGAUGUUCUGUGGACUCUUCUACCUACUGUGAUUCAACAUUUCCAUUGUUUGCUCUUAGGAGGUUUUAAGUUGAUUCUCAGCGUGAGCAUUUUGUUAUUACUGCUGAUGCUAAAAGGGCUUUAUAAAAUCCAUAUCAUCAAUUGAUUGUGUGAUGAAGUCUAUUCCUGUUGGUCAUAUGGCCCCAGGUUGAGAAUGACGGAAACAACUGAUGUCCAAAGGAACAAACCUGCAUGAAUAAUAAAUACUUUGUUCAUUGAGAAAGUUAUUUGUAAAUUGAUGUAACCCAUUGAAUUGUAAUUUAGUUUUCUAUGGUAAUACUGCUGCUUUUAAAUUUCACUCCUGUCUCUGUAUGAAAAUAAAAUUAUACUGACAUAA
Long non-coding RNA from Esox lucius (northern pike), 818 nucleotides. RefSeq lists it as uncharacterized. Lineage: Eukaryota; Metazoa; Chordata; Actinopteri; Esociformes; Esocidae. The record is from RefSeq and is a predicted model, not a curated record. The transcript has 2 exons.